This 468-nucleotide ribosomal RNA is filed under the name uncultured bacterium. Its description in RNAcentral is "partial 16S ribosomal RNA". It matches the Rfam family "Bacterial small subunit ribosomal RNA", at positions 28 to 507 of the family's 1533-position model. The record is from RNAcentral.
GACGAACGCUGGCGGCGUGCUUAACACAUGCAAGUCGAACGGAAAGGCCCUGCUGUUGUGGGGUGCUCGAGUGGCGAACGGGUGAGUAACACGUGAGUAACCUGCCCUUGACUUUGGGAUAACUUCAGGAAACUGGGGCUAAUACCGGAUAGGAGCUCCUGCUGCAUGGUGGGGGUGGGAAAGUUUCGGCGGUUGGGGAUGGACUCGCGGCUUAUCAGCUUGUUGGUGGGGUAGUGGCUUACCAAGGCGUUGACGGGUAGCCGGCCUGAGAGGGUGACCGGCCACAUUGGGACUGAGAUACGGCCCAGACUCCUACGGGAGGCAGCAGUGGGGAAUAUUGCACAAUGGGCGGAAGCCUGAUGCAGCAACGCCGCGUGCGGGAUGACGGCCUUCGGGUUGUAAACCGCUUUCGCCUGUGACGAAGCGUGAGUGACGGUAAUGGGUAAAGAAGCACCGGCUAACUACGUG